AUAAUUAAAUAUAGAACGCAAAAUAAUGUGCAUGAAAGUAAACUGUAGUCUUAAAUAUUAAGAUACACAGGUAUGUACAAUAUGCAUAUGUGAAUUAUACUGUAGUCUCAAAUAUUAAGAUACACAGGAAUGUACAAGAGGCAAAUGUGCUACUGUCAGUAUGUCAAUGUGAGGUAGAGAAUGAUGAAUAUCUCUCCUUCACAGAGGGGAAAGCAGACCCGGAGAUGCGCUCAACUAAGUUUACAACUCUCUGCAGGGCUUUGCAGUCUUGACUGGAGCUGUUCCCAUACCACACUGAGAUACACGGAGUCAAUACACUUUCUAUGGCCCCUGAAUAGAAAGUUUUCAGGAUUGCUGGUGAGACCCUGAAUUUCCUCAGCUGUCGCAGAUGGUACAGUCGUUGCCUGGCUUUAUUUACCUGUGUUUGAAUGUGAGUAGUCCAAGUCAGGUCCUCGGAGAUGUUUACACCAAGGUACUUGAAGCUGCUCACCCUCUCCACAGGGGUCCCGCUGAUCAUAAGAGGAGUAUAGGGCUGCUGCUGUCUCUUCCUGAAGUCCACAAUCAGUUCUUUAGUUUUGCUCACAUUCAGAGAGAGACAGUUGUCCUGGCACCAUGAUGUUAAUUUCUCUACCUCAUCCAAGUAUGCGGUCUCAUUGUUGUUGUGAAUGAGGCCCAGAACCACAGUAUCAUCAGCAAAUUUGAUUAUAGAUGUGGAGCUGUGCGAAGACACGCAGUCAUGUUCUUCUCAGAGUGAAGAAUUCAGGCCGGGGUCUAUGAGUUUAGAAGCUAGCUUUAAGGGGACUAUAGUAUUAAAAUCUGAGCUAUAGUCACUAAAUAGCAGCCUUACGUAGUUUCUGUUAUUGCUGUCAAUGUGUGUGAGAGAAGAGUGCAGGAUGUGAGAGAUGGCAUCAUCAGUGGAUCUGUUUGGGCGAUAGGCAAACUGAAGAGGGUCCAAAGUAUCUGGUAUGGAGGAGCAGAUGACGUUUUUAACCAGUCCCUCAAAGACCUUCAUGACUAUUGAUGUGAGGGCAACUGGACGAUAGUUAUCCAGACAAGAGGGUUUAUUAUUCUUAGGCACAGAGAUGAUGACAGAGUUUUUGAAUGAGGUGGAAACCACCGAUGUAGCAAGAGACUCAUUAAAAAUGGAUGUAAACAAACCAGCGAGCUGAUCAGUGCAGGACCGCAGAACACGGCCAGAAAUCCCAUCAGGUCCAGCUGCUUUCCUUACAUUCACUCGCUUUAGAGCCCUCCGAACCUCAUCCUGCGACACGGUGAUCACAUGAUGAUCGCUGCUCUGACUGCAGAGGAUUUAUGUCCAAAGGCACAGAUAGUCCUUAGUCCUUGCCACAUGCGUCGGGAGUCAUUUAGCUGGAAAUGUGACUCUAUGCAUUCCCUGUAUCUGUGUUUGGCGGUGCUUUGUACUCGCUCAUGUUUCCUGACAGAAGACUGCCGUUGUAAGCAGCAGUGCAUUUGUUUACUGCUGCACGGAUUGAUCUGUCCACCCACGGUCUCUGAUUUGAGAAUGUCCUUAUAGUUAUUGUAUCCGUAGCUUGUUCGGCUAGCGUGUUUACAAAGAUUAAUGCUACAUCCUUGAACUCGCUGACGUCAGAUAAACUUGCGUGAAACAUUUCCCAGUCUGCGUCAUCAAGAGCAGCCUGUAGAGUUGCUUCUGAUUGGGGGACCAUCGCGUCACCACCCUCUGCACCGGGGGAUCUUGAACGAGCCUUUGUUUAUAAUCCGGUUUGAGGAAAAUGGCGGCAUGGUCUGAUUUGCCGAAAGGCGGUAGUGAGCGAGCUUUGUAGGCAUUUUUAAACUGUGUGUAGCAAUGAUCCAGUGUAUUCGGUCCUCUGGUUGGACAGGAUAUACAUGUUGAUAAAAAAUUAAGCAUAACUUGCCUGAGUUUUGCUUUAUUAAAGUCCCCAGCGAUGAUAAUAGCAGCGUCAGGAUGUUUGUUGAUGUAACCGCUGAGUAGGGAUGUGCAUCUCCAUAACUGAGGCCGAUGCGAUACGCAUCUCGAUGCAUAGCCAACGAUACGAUACAUUAAAGAUACAUGAAGCAGCUAGCGAUGCGAUACGAUACGAUACACCUCUGUUACAAUGCAGUGCGAUCCGAUUUCGAUUCGAUUCAACACGAUUCGAUGCGGUAUGAUGCAAUGAAACAAAUCAUGAUAUGCAUUUCAUUAUGUUACAGACAUUAUGUUUUAUUUCUUUGUUUCAGACAACAAAUCAUAAAUUAACUUAAGUGCCUUCUGAUUUGUAGUGCAUGACCCUUAUACAAAUAGGCUUUGGUAGUGCAAAAAAAUAUUAAAUAAAACCAAAUUUUUUUUCCUGUUUUGUCCCUACUUAAACUUUUAAAAGCUCAAACAUUUAACAGUGAAACAAUUUAAGGAUGCUGCUCAGAGGUAAACUGAAGAAAAGUUCCAUAACAUGCUAGCAGAUGAAUGUGCUUUCAGCAGACAGGCUUACUCAGUGAACAGAAAACAGGUGCUAUUUUGACAUAACCAAUAAUAAUAUGAAGUACCAAAAAAAAAAAAUUUGUCAGUUAUUUCAUAACUGUAUUCAAAUGUAAAAAAAAAAAUAAUGAAAAUAAAAUAAACUAGUAUAGGCAGUCACAGGCUGCUGUAAACCAGACUCAUCAGAUUAAAUUUAACUUAAAUAUGCUCUUUUAAGGUUUUUCUUAAGAAAUAUCAGUUGAUCCGAGCAGAACUGUUAGGCAACUUCGAUUGAAAAAAAGUUUUGAUCGUUUGCUCACCCGGCGUCCCGCUAGCAGUGGCAGGUUCGGCUAAAUCCGAGUGAGAGGAGGAGGAGGAGGAGGAGGCGGCCGGCGUCUCCAAACUCACACCGUGUCGGCGCUUCAGGUGUGUUGUCAGAUUUGUCGUGCUGUAUAUUUUAUAGCGGCACGACAUAUUUUACAAAUUGCAUGGGUUUUAUCAAGAUUUCCAGCUUUCUUAUAAAAGCCAAAGUGUUUCCACACACUGGAUUUGUAACUACUUGGUGGAGGAUGCAACUGCUCUACCUCUGCCAUGUUAAUCUAUGUGACUUUCUUGACACGCCCCGGUCUCUGUAGUGUUGUGAAAGGCUUACGUCAUCACGCAACAGUGAAGAGAGACGUGCUUGAAAAACAGUUUAGAAGGGUGAAAACAAUCUAAAAAUAUUAUUCCUUUUCUAAAUAAUGAAAGUAUAGUUAUCUACUAAUAAUUAUAAAGAAAUAAAUCUGGGUUUACCGAUGCAGAUAUGUUAGAAACGAUGCAUCGCGAUACAAAAGCCAAUUUGAAUCCGAUGCACACUUUUUAAACCGAUGCAUCGCAUCUUUAACUUUUUAAGCCGAUGCACCGAGCGAAUCGGGGAAUCUUCCCAUCCCUACCGCUGAGCGCAUCGUGAAGCUCAGACAAAGCCAAACCAGUGUCUGCUUGUGGUGGGAUGUAAACAGCAGUUAUGAUGAUCGAUGAAAACUCCCGUGGCAGAUAGCAUUGGCGGCAAAUAAUGGAUAAAUGUUCCAGAUGAGGCGAGAAGGAGCGCGACAGUGUGGAGAUAUUCCUGGGGUUACACCAUUUCUUGUUAAUCAUGAAGCACACUCCUCCGCCUUUGGAUUUGCCGGCCUCGGCUGUUCUGUCCAUCCGUAAAACAGAAGUUUUCAGACGGCCUUACAGCAGCGUCCGGGACCAAGGGCGUCAGCCAUGUUUCAGACAAACAAAGGAUGUUACAGUCCCUAAUGUCUGGUUAGAAACUUAUCCUGGCUCUAAGAUCGUCCAUCUUAUUCUCCAGAGACUGGACAUUGGCGAGCAGAAUGCUUGGUAGAGGAGGACUGUGUGCUCUUUUCCUCAGUCUGUUGCGAAUCCCAGCACGUUUCCCGCAAUGUUUCUUGAUCCAUCGCCUCGGGUGGUUAUUCAGGUGGCCAUUGUUCAUCUCGGCGUUCCGGAGAAUCUCAGACUGCCACGAUGGGUUGGAGGAUAAAGUGUCCUGAAACAGGUCAGUGAAGCGGUGUCUAAUGUCCAAAAGUGUUUCUUUGCUGUAUAUGAUCAGUGCAGAGGUAAUGUGUGUAAAAAGAGAAAGCAAAAGUAGGUAAAAAAUUUUUUAAAUAAAAACAUAAUCUAAGCGGAGCGACCUGGACGGCGACCGGACUCAGCGGCGCCAUCUUGAUAAAAAAAGAUUAAAGAAACAUCUCUUUGGCCAAGCAUUCAAAUAAUGCAUCUCAUAAUCUUAUACUGCAGUUGUAUCUGAUCAAAUACGCAUUAUUAUUCUUUAGCUUGGGUUAAACUAAUUAAUUUUACUUUGUUGGAACAGCAGCUAUGCUAAUUAUGUCUCUAUUUGAUCUUUGUUUUUACAACUAGGAUUUAAACAAGCUUCAGUCUGGAUCCAGAACAUCUGAGAAGAGAUGAUGUCAACCCUUCAGAAGACCUCAGAUGAUGCCAACCUUGAAACAACAGAAGUCCGUUUUCUCUGGAUGCACCGCAGACACCCGAAAGGCCUUUUACAGACAGAUCACUGAAGCGCCCAGAGACAAAAACUUCUGCAAACUCAUUCACAUUAUUUGCUGAAGUAAGAAAGAGGAAAGUUCUCACUACGGUGCUUCUGCGACCCGACCAGGACGACCGCUUCCACCGCAGGCGUCUGUUGGAAGCAGUAGGUUUGGCUCCAGGCUGUUAUUUGUCAAACACAGUGAGGAUGAGGACUAACUGUGUUCCUCUGUGGACCUGAAGCUUGUCCGGCUCCCGGCGGCCCACAGACAGCAGAGCGCGGUGAUGGACUGCAGUCUGCUGGAAAAUACAGUUUCCUCUAAAUUAGGUGCUGAGUGAAGCGCUGCGGUGCCUUUGUGCAAGCGCUGGAAAAGGCCGGGGUGACAGUGGUCAACCAAAAAUACAAUAACCAGCACCAGAAAUACAUUUUUAUGCCAUUUUGCACUGCUCUGCACGAUUCUAAUGAGACGUUCAUGCAUUCUUCUGACAUGUCUGAAUGAUGCGCAACACCUGGAAUAUAGCGCACUUGCAGAAAGACCUACUUUUGUGAUAGUUUCAUGCGGAUUUGAUCUUUUUUGAGCCUGAUGAUACAAAUCAGCAUCCACUGUCAAUUUAAGGAAAGAAACUGCUCAGACAUUCUGUAAAAAAUAAUUCAUAACAUGAUUACCAUUUUAGUAGCAUGUUGCUAGCAUGUUGCUAGCAUGAUUCUAGCACGAUUAGCAUGUUACAAAAAAAAAAAAAACCUGAAUACCGCAAAUAAACUUUUUUUUUUUUGAGGUAACGGUUUACAAUAAGGUCUCAUUUGUUAAUCGUUUAUAUAAACUAAUGAUGAGCGUCACAUUUUUUUUUUUAGAAAUUAUUAACCUUUCUUAACGUUAAUCAAAUAUUUGUGUUUAAAAAUGUUAAAAAGCUAUUUUUUUUUGUUUACCGUAUGUUCUGGACUAUAAGUCGCACUAUUUUUCAUAGUUUGGCUGGUCCUGUGACUUAUAGUCAGGUGCGACUUAUUUAUCAAAAUUUAUUUGACAUGAACCGAGAGAAAUGAACUAAGAGAAAACAUUACCGUCUCCAGCCGCCAGAGGGCGCUCUAUGCUGCUCAGUUCUCCUGUAGUCUACACUGUAAUGUUUUCUCUUGGUUCUAAAUAAAUGCGACUUAUAGUCCAGUGCAACUUAUAUAUUUUUUUAUUUUUUUUCUCAUCAUGAAGUAUUUAUGGGCUGAUACUCAGGUGCGACUUAUAGUCCGAAAAAUACAGUAUUUUGAUUGAUGACGUUAACAUGUUGAGAUUAAAAUAAACUAAGAUUAGUAAAUGCAUUAGAAGUAGUUUUCAUUGCAAGUUCAUAACUAAUGUAGGUAACUCAAAUUUACAAAUGGAACAGUAUUGUAGAGUAAUACUAAAUCAGACUUCAAUUUUAUUCUGUUUUCGGUUUAAUUUUAAUAUAUGUGUGUGUGUGUGUGUGUUUCUUUUUGCAAGAACAAUUUACAAUUAUAAACUGUAAACUGACAUUUCCAGAAUCCCUUUGAUGAUAUUUAAUUUCUAUAAUUGCUUUUCUUCUUAAUAGUUAUUUUCUCUUUACCUCCCAUGUUAUUAAUGGUGUUGUUAGCAAAUGUUAAAGACACAAAUCAUGUUUGUAGCAGCAGAGUGUAAGUAAAUAAUCCAGAUUUUCAUUUCAACACUUAAAGAUCAUGGAAGCAUCUGAAAGAAGAGUGACCGAUCGAUGCUAUUUUCCUCAUGUUCCUCAAGUUUCCUCAUGUGAGUGUUCACCAGUGCGAAUCAGAGUUCAUCCAUCUCCAUCUUCAGACUGAAGGAUCUACUUGAAGAAAGAUGAUCUUUAAGGAUUGAGAGCUAUGAAAGCGCUCAAGAAGAACCGAGCCAAACGCUUCCAUUAAGUUCCUGAUGUUUAAUAUCAUCUUCUGGGGUCCUCCCAUAAUUUUAUCCACUCUGUUUUUAUUAUGCUAUAUAUUAUGUCUUAAUAAAAUGUCAAAGAAUAGUUUGUGCCAUUUCUCCUAC
This is a long non-coding RNA of Carassius gibelio (silver crucian carp), 6462 nucleotides long. RefSeq lists it as uncharacterized. NCBI's taxonomy places the organism in Eukaryota, Metazoa, Chordata, Actinopteri, Cypriniformes, Cyprinidae. The record is from RefSeq and is a predicted model, not a curated record. The transcript is spliced from 3 exons.